Molecule: long non-coding RNA, 4358 nt
Filed under: Zea mays
Lineage: Eukaryota; Viridiplantae; Streptophyta; Magnoliopsida; Poales; Poaceae
Description: long non-coding RNA (ZMAY_LNC001310)
Source: RNAcentral
GGAAAAGAAAGAAAUACAAAAAAGAAAAGAAACCCCCCUCCCCGUAUUGGGCCAACAGCGCUGGCAGCCCAACACAGUCUGCUGCGACCGCGCCCUGGCCGACCAGCUCCUGUCCUUUCUCUCACAGCCGUGUGGGCCCAUGUGGUCGGUCUUCUUCCUCGUUGGAUUGCGUUAGCAAACGGCUGAGCGAAAAUUGAGGGACUGCCCAACCAAACGGACUCCGCUGGUCUUGCAUUGAACCCGCCUGGAUCCUCGUGUCCUUAGGAUAUAUAAGCAGACCUAGGUAUUCUUCCCUGAACAGCUCAAACUACCACGAACCUGGGGUGAAGAUUCAAGCUGCCAGGGGGAUUUCGCGGGUUCACCCCGUCGGGGUCUCUGCGCCAGGUCUUGGUGCUUGGGUGCCGUUCGUCUGCCGGGGGGUAAGCUUCCUGCCUGUGCCACACGGUCGGUCUGCGGUCGGAGUGGGCCACGAACGUCGCAGGCAUUAGCCUCGGCUCUACCGCCGCAUACGAGGCCGCUUCUCCAGUUUUCGCUUGGGUGUUGAUGUCGUCGCCAACAGUGGUGCAUCUUCGCAUGAAGAUAGUGCAAUGUGGGCAGACUCGACCAUUGUUCCAGUCGCGGAUGCGUCUGGGGCACUGAUCCAGUUUGCUCAUCGGAACAUGGCGGUGUGGGUCGCGGGGGUCCAUCUGUGUGCCCGGAAAUUCUCACCGGUGCAUAGCCACCGCCGCUGGUUGCGCUUGACUGUCGCCAGACCAUCACGCUGCAGGGUCCACGGUGAGAAUCCCCUCAAACAAUUCCCAUGCAUAUCUAGGUUGUGUAGCGCGGAUCGAAUUAAGGAGCAGGGCCCUAGGGCGCCGACUUGGCCAACACCGGCAGGCCCGCCGCCGUGGGGGGAAAACCUGUGCGCCACCACGCUCGGCUUGGCUGGGGGAGGAAGAUUGGCUCCCUGUCGUUCGAUCGUGAACGGACGGUGGAGAUUAGCCAUGGGAAUACCUAUUGGGGGGAAUAAACCAGAGCCAUAGAUCUAGAUCCAACGGUUGUGGGCCUAUAUCGGUUCCAAGCCGCCCCGAUGUGAUCUGGACCCUCCAUCUCUAAUCGGGCAGUCCAGAUCGCGUACCCCUUCGUUGUCUAAUCUAGUCCCUGGAUCCAAGAUCGGACGGCUCUGAAUCAACGAUACCCCUUCACCCUGGCUUUCUUUCUAAAGAGCCCCUCUGUUUUCCUAGAUUCAACCCGCAGUCCACUCGGGUGUUCCCCUGAGUCUGGGGAAUUCUUACCCGAGACCCCCUGCACUUCCCAGAAAUCUGCGCCCAGUCCAGAUAAUUAAUAAAACCAGGAAAAUCAUUUAGAAAAUAGAUUUUAGUACAUAUUUAAAUGCAGAAACUUGUUUAAUUUGUAGAAAACGCAUAUGAACUCCGAAUUAACCCAUUCCAGUUUCUAUAAUUUUGUAAUAUUAUUGUUGAUCAUUUUGUGUCACAGUUUUAACAUGAAAGCCAUAUUAAAAUUGAUAUACUAAUUAAUCUUGUGCAAAACAUAUAGAAUCGUUGGAAAUCCAUAACUUAAAAUCUACAACUCCAAAAUUAAUAAUUCUUUUUCCUGUGAUCUUAUUUUAAUAUGUAGAUUAUUAAUAUGUAUUUUGCAUAUAUGUUUGUUGUGAUGUUAAUUUUGCCUAUACACUGUUUGUUUGUAUUGCUACGACUAGCAGUGAGGUCACGAGAAUCUGAAGAUCAUCCUGGUACCUGGAAUCUCAAGUCCCAGGCAAGUUGUGCCCUUGAUCACUUCUUUUUACCUACUCAUGUUCUGAUUAAUCAUAAUGAUCUGCAUAGGUUAAUUUUGAUGGGACCCGAUAGGUUACCCUAGUUUGUCUAUCUUUAUACCUUGUUUACCACUGAACUUUUUGGGUAGUACUUGCUAGUGCUUUAUGUGGUUUUGGGUAUGAAGAUACAUUAUUCAUGAUCACACUUUUAUUAUCUGUUUAUUAUCACUGUUCAUGAUAAGAUCAUUAUGUUAAUUGGAACAUGGAGAACCACCCGGGAAAACAGUGCUACCACAAGGGUUUAAUGGGACGCCCUUGGCCGAUUAAUUAGGAAAGCUAGUGGAAGACUACCUUACCCGAAAGGGGCAAGGGCAGUAGGGGAGUGGUCAGUGUAGGGAGGCCCUCGGGAGGAUUUUGCUGUGAUGGCGGUCCUGCAAGGGAUUCCUGGGAAGGCCCUCGGGAGGAUUUUGCUGUGAUGGCGGUCCUGCAAGGGAUUCCUGGGGAGGCCCUCGGGAGGAUUUUGCUGUGAUGGCGGUCCUGCAAGGGAUUCCUGCAUUGGAGCUUCCUAUAAACUGUAGCGGGUUUUCUGAAGCUAGUGGAACUUUGUAAAGGCCUCGUAGUGUUACCCUGCCUCGCCUCCUCGGUAGAGGUGUAUGGGAAGUCGCGAUCCCUUGGCAGAUGGGUAACAUGACUUGUGGGUAAAGAUGCGCAACCUCUGCAGAGUGUAAAACUGGUAUACUAGCCGUGCUCACGGUCAUGAGCAGCUCGGACACUCACAUGAUUAAAUUAUGGAAUUAAACUCAAUUUGUCAUAUGCAUUGCAUCGCAGGUGAGGUUGUACAGGUGAUGUUGUUACUUUUGUUCUACUACUUAAUUGGGCUGGUAUUUACUUAUACUUAGUAAUUGCUAAUAAAAUUUUGACCAACUUUAAAAGCAAUGCUCAGCUCUAACCAUCCUCUUUGGUAAGCCUUACACUUCACGUGAGCUCCCACCUUUGGUGAGUUCAUGCACAUUAUUCCCCACAACUUGUUGAGCGAUGAACAUAUGUGAGCUCACUCUUGCUGUCUCACACCCCCCCCCCCCACAGGUCAAGAGCAGGUACCACAGGAUGAGGCGCGUGGAGGAUGCUGUGAUGAGUUCGUGAGUGGUCUAGGUCGUCGUCUCCCAGUCAACUUUGGGUUGCUGGACCGUUGUCUCCUUAUAAUGUAAUUAUUUAUUUUGUAUAGAACUCCUGUUAUAUAUAAAGAUGUGACAUUCGAUCCUGUGCCACUUUACAUCAUAUGUGUGAGACUUGGUCCCAGCAUACCUGGUGUUUAUGUUAGCGCCCGGGUUUUGGACCCCUAAAAUCCGGGUGUUACAGAAGUGGUAUCAGAGGAAUGUUGACCGUAGGACGAAACCUAGAUAGAACUGGAUAACCAUUCUUUACUUACCUUUGCUACUCUAAUCUUUUCUAAACUUAUCUUAAUCCUUUCUCAUCUAUUUCCGCUAUACUCUGAUCAUUCUUACCUUUUUCUUCUAAAGACAAAUGUGGAUUUCACACUUUGAAAUCCUGUGCCUAAAGUGACCUUUAGGAAUAGGAGACCUAUUCAUAGGAACCACAACAAAACUAUUUUUUUAUAAAUAUUUGUAUGCUUGAAUGUUUGUUCUUAUGAUACUUGUCUGAUUUGGAUUUUUGAUUGAGUGUGAUGAGUUGUGGAGUAAUGUCCACAAUUGCAUCUGCAUAUACUUAGGCAUAUAUAUAACUAAUCAAACUUAAAUUGUCCCUCAUUAAAAAAAUGUAUCUAGCUUAUCCAUCUUAUCUUAAAAGACUCUCUCUUGUCUCGAUAGAUCCAUCUUAUCUUACAAGAUUCUAUCUUAUCCUAAUAGGUUCAUCUUAUCCCAACCACUUUACUUAUCUCAUCCUAAAGUAACAACCAUGAUCUAAUUAAGGAGAUCUUGUCUAGUCUAUCUAGUCAUAACAAUCUAACCUAGAUCUGAUCCAACCUAGUAGGUUAAUCUAACCUAACGAAGUCUAACCUUAAGUUGAGCUAACCUAAGGACAGUCACAUAACAAGUUAACACUAGUGAAAUAAAUUGGGUCCUACUCCUAUAAAUCUUGUUCUCUCCUCAUGUACUUAAACCUAAAAUUAGUGCAUUAGACCAACUCAACCGUGAACAUAAGAGCUAACCCAACCAAUAGUGUCAUGAUGGAUUACAUAAUCUGUCUAUUCCCACCUAACAUCAAAUGAACUUUAGACCUACAUCAUGUAGUCAAUCUCAUCCAUAUAUAUCUAUCUUAACCAUAUUCCCCAACCUCGAUGAUAUACACUACCCUCGAAUCAAUGAGACCAAGACCGGAGAAGAAAAUAUCAACACCGACAAGGACGAAUAUAACAGUCAAAGCGAAUCUCGAGAUGAAUCAAGACUUAAACAUUUUAGAUGAAGUCUUUUCCUUGCCAUAAUCUUUCCUACCUCAACCUGUCCAACUUAUAUCCUACAUAAUAAAUUAGCUGAAUACCUAUGCUCUCCUAAUCACCCACUACUGAAAAAAAUGAUAAUUUGGAUUUUGAACCAAUUAUAGAUUAAAAGCUGAAUUACAAACCAAUCCUUCUGUAUCCCUUUUUCUA